RNAcentral lists this ribosomal RNA (864 nucleotides) under uncultured archaeon. Its description in RNAcentral is "bacterial SSU rRNA". It matches the Rfam family "Archaeal small subunit ribosomal RNA", at positions 1 to 870 of the family's 1478-position model. The record is from RNAcentral.
UUCCGGUUGAUCCUGCCGGAGGUUACUGCUAUCGAGGUUCGACUAAGCCAUGCGAGUCGAAUGUAGCAAUACAUGGCGAACUGCUCAGUAACACGUGGACAACCUGCCCUUAGGACGGGGAUAAACCCGGGAAACUGGGUAUAAUACCCGAUAGGUCUCGAUUGCUGGAAUGCAUCGAGAUUUAAAGCUCCGGCGCCUAAGGAUGGGUCUGCGGCCUAUCAGGUAGUAGUGGGUGUAGCGUACCUACUAGCCUACGACGGGUACGGUUGUGAGAGCAAGAGCCCGGAGAUGGAUUCUGAGACACGAAUCCAGGCCCUACGGGGUGCAGCAGGCGCGAAAACUUUACAAUGCUGGCAACAGCGAUAAGGGAACCUCGAGUGCCAGGUUACAAAUCUGGCUGUCGAGAUGCCUAAAAAGCAUUUCAUAGCAAGGGCCGGGCAAGACCGGUGCCAGCCGCCGCGGUAACACCGGCGGCUCGAGUGGUAACCGUUAUUAUUGGGUCUAAAGGGUCUGUAGCCGGCCGGAUAAGUCUCUUGAGAAAUCUGGCAGCUUAACUGUCAGGCUUUCAGGAGAUACUGUCUGGCUCGAGGCCGGGAGAGGUGAGAGGUACUUCAGGGGUAGGGGUGAAAUCUUGUAAUCCUUGAAGGACCACCAGUGGCGAAGGCGUCUCACCAGAACGGACCUGACGGCAAGGGACGAAAGCUAGGGGCACGAACCGGAUUAGAUACCCGGGUAGUCCUAGCCGUAAACGAUACUCGCUAGGUGUCGGCCACGGGUGCGACCGUUGUCGGUGCCGUAGGGAAGCCGUGAAGCGAGCCACCUGGGAAGUACGGGCCGCAAGGCUGAAACUUAAAGGAAUCGGCG